AGCAGCCGCGGUAAUUCCAGCUCCAAUAGCGUAUAUUAAAGUUGUUGCAGUUAAAAAGCUCGUAGUUGAAUUUCGGGAUCAAUAUGUUGGUCGUGCCUUGGUACGUACUGGCAUUAUUGGUUUCUACCUUCUGAAGAACCUCGAUGUCAUUAAUUUGGUGUCUUGGGGAAUCAGGACUGUUACUUUGAAAAAAUUAGAGUGUUUAAAGCAAGCUAACGCUUGAAUACAUUAGCAUGGAAUAAUGAAAUAGGACGUUCGAUCCUAUUUUGUUGGUUUCUAGGAUUGACGUAAUGAUUAAUAGGGAUAGUUGGGGGCAUUAGUAUUCAAUUGUCAGAGGUGAAAUUCUUGGAUUUAUUGAAGACUAACUACUGCGAAAGCAUUUGCCAAGGAUGUUUUCAUUAAUCAAGAACGAAAGUUAGGGGAUCGAAGACGAUCAGAUACCGUCGUAGUCUUAACCAUAAACUAUGUCGACUAGGGAUCGGAUGAUGUUAAUUUUUUAAUGACUCAUUCGGCACCUUACG
This 521-nucleotide ribosomal RNA is filed under the name uncultured Glomus. RNAcentral describes it as "SSU rRNA". It matches the Rfam family "Eukaryotic small subunit ribosomal RNA", at positions 569 to 1092 of the family's 1831-position model. Lineage: Eukaryota; Fungi; Glomeromycota; Glomeromycetes; Glomerales; Glomeraceae. The record is from RNAcentral.